This 463-nucleotide ribosomal RNA is filed under the name uncultured microorganism. RNAcentral describes it as "bacterial SSU rRNA". It matches the Rfam family "Bacterial small subunit ribosomal RNA", at positions 346 to 794 of the family's 1533-position model. The record is from RNAcentral.
GUGCAGCAGGCGCGAAUAGUCUACAAUGGACGAAAGUCUGAUAGUGCGACGCCGUGUGUGCGAUUAAUUCCUUCGGGAUGUAAAGCACUUUUCUAUGAGAUAAAAGCUCUUUAGGUUAAUAGCUUAUUGAGACGGAUAUUAUUAUAGGAAUAAGCUCCGGCUAACUCCGUGCCAGCAGCCGCGGUAAUACGGAAGGAGCGAGCGUUGUCCGGAUUUACUAGGCGUAAAGGGCUAGUAGGCGACUAAUUAAGUUAUAUGUUAAAUCCCACGGCUCAACUGUGGUCCUGCAUGUAAUACUGGUUAGAUAGAGUACUGUAGAGGAAGGCAGAAUUCCUGGAGUAGCGGUGGAAUGCGCAGAUAUCAGGAAGAAUAACCAAAAAGACGAAAGGCAGCCUUCUGGGCAGUUACUGACGCUGAAUAGCGAAAGGUGUGGGUAGCGAACAGGAUUAGAUACCCGUGUAGU